RNAcentral lists this ribosomal RNA (2348 nucleotides) under Salmonella enterica. RNAcentral's name for it is "partial 23S ribosomal RNA". It matches the Rfam family "Bacterial large subunit ribosomal RNA", at positions 689 to 2925 of the family's 2925-position model. The record is from RNAcentral. Lineage: Bacteria; Pseudomonadati; Pseudomonadota; Gammaproteobacteria; Enterobacterales; Enterobacteriaceae.
UGGGCGUUAAGUUGCAGGGUAUAGACCCGAAACCCGGUGAUCUAGCCAUGGGCAGGUUGAAGGUUGGGUAACACUAACUGGAGGACCGAACCGACUAAUGUUGAAAAAUUAGCGGAUGACCUGUGGCUGGGGGUGAAAGGCCAAUCAAACCGGGAGAUAGCUGGUUCUCCCCGAAAGCUAUUUAGGUAGCGCCUCGUGAAUUCAUCUCCGGGGGUAGAGCACUGUUUCGGCUAGGGGGCCAUCCCGGCUUACCAACCCGAUGCAAACUGCGAAUACCGGAGAAUGUUAUCACGGGAGACACACGGCGGGUGCUAACGUCCGUCGUGAAGAGGGAAACAACCCAGACCGCCAGCUAAGGUCCCAAAGUCAUGGUUAAGUGGGAAACGAUGUGGGAAGGCCCAGACAGCCAGGAUGUUGGCUUAGAAGCAGCCAUCAUUUAAAGAAAGCGUAAUAGCUCACUGGUCGAGUCGGCCUGCGCGGAAGAUGUAACGGGGCUAAACCAUGCACCGAAGCUGCGGCAGCGAACGUAUCACCCAAGACAACUUUACGGAGUUGACGAUUGACGGAGCGAAGCGACGUCAAAGCGUUCAUUAAAGUCGAGUUGGCUUAGGGAUACGUUCGUUGGGUAGGGGAGCGUUCUGUAAGCCUGUGAAGGUGUGUCGUGAGGCAUGCUGGAGGUAUCAGAAGUGCGAAUGCUGACAUAAGUAACGAUAAAGCGGGUGAAAAGCCCGCUCGCCGGAAGACCAAGGGUUCCUGUCCAACGUUAAUCGGGGCAGGGUGAGUCGACCCCUAAGGCGAGGCCGAAAGGCGUAGUCGAUGGGAAACGGGUUAAUAUUCCCGUACUUGGUGUUACUGCGAAGGGGGGACGGAGAAGGCUAUGUUGGCCGGGCGACGGUUGUCCCGGUUUAAGCGUGUAGGUGUGUGUUCCAGGUAAAUCCGGUUCACUUUAACACUGAGGCGUGACGACGAGGCACUACGGUGCUGAAGCAACAAAUGCCCUGCUUCCAGGAAAAGCCUCUAAGCAUCAGGUAACACGAAAUCGUACCCCAAACCGACACAGGUGGUCAGGUAGAGAAUACCAAGGCGCUUGAGAGAACUCGGGUGAAGGAACUAGGCAAAAUGGUGCCGUAACUUCGGGAGAAGGCACGCUGACACGUAGGUGAAGUGAUUUACUCAUGGAGCUGAAGUCAGUCGAAGAUACCAGCUGGCUGCAACUGUUUAUUAAAAACACAGCACUGUGCAAACACGAAAGUGGACGUAUACGGUGUGACGCCUGCCCGGUGCCGGAAGGUUAAUUGAUGGGGUCAGCGUAAGCGAAGCUCCUGAUCGAAGCCCCGGUAAACGGCGGCCGUAACUAUAACGGUCCUAAGGUAGCGAAAUUCCUUGUCGGGUAAGUUCCGACCUGCACGAAUGGCGUAAUGAUGGCCAGGCUGUCUCCACCCGAGACUCAGUGAAAUUGAACUCGCUGUGAAGAUGCAGUGUACCCGCGGCAAGACGGAAAGACCCCGUGAACCUUUACUAUAGCUUGACACUGAACAUUGAGCCUUGAUGUGUAGGAUAGGUGGGAGGCUUUGAAGUGUGGACGCCAGUCUGCAUGGAGCCGACCUUGAAAUACCACCCUUUAAUGUUUGAUGUUCUAACGUGGACCCGUAAUCCGGGUUGCGGACAGUGUCUGGUGGGUAGUUUGACUGGGGCGGUCUCCUCCUAAAGAGUAACGGAGGAGCACGAAGGUUGGCUAAUCCUGGUCGGACAUCAGGAGGUUAGUGCAAUGGCAUAAGCCAGCUUGACUGCGAGCGUGACGGCGCGAGCAGGUGCGAAAGCAGGUCAUAGUGAUCCGGUGGUUCUGAAUGGAAGGGCCAUCGCUCAACGGAUAAAAGGUACUCCGGGGAUAACAGGCUGAUACCGCCCAAGAGUUCAUAUCGACGGCGGUGUUUGGCACCUCGAUGUCGGCUCAUCACAUCCUGGGGCUGAAGUAGGUCCCAAGGGUAUGGCUGUUCGCCAUUUAAAGUGGUACGCGAGCUGGGUUUAGAACGUCGUGAGACAGUUCGGUCCCUAUCUGCCGUGGGCGCUGGAGAACUGAGGGGGGCUGCUCCUAGUACGAGAGGACCGGAGUGGACGCAUCACUGGUGUUCGGGUUGUCAUGCCAAUGGCACUGCCCGGUAGCUAAAUGCGGAAGAGAUAAGUGCUGAAAGCAUCUAAGCACGAAACUUGCCCCGAGAUGAGUUCUCCCUGAGACUUAGAGUCUCCUGAAGGAACGUUGAAGACGACGACGUUGAUAGGCCGGGUGUGUAAGCGCAGCGAUGCGUUGAGCUAACCGGUACUAAUGAACCGUGAGGCUUAACCUUACA